This 178-nucleotide ribosomal RNA is filed under the name Methanococcoides vulcani. RNAcentral's name for it is "partial 16S rRNA. Archaeal SSU". It matches the Rfam family "Archaeal small subunit ribosomal RNA", at positions 1 to 179 of the family's 1478-position model. The record is from RNAcentral. Lineage: Archaea; Methanobacteriati; Methanobacteriota; Methanomicrobia; Methanosarcinales; Methanosarcinaceae.
ACUCUGGUUGAUCCUGCCAGAGGUUACUGCUAUCGGUGUUCGACUAAGCCAUGCGAGUUAAAUGUUCUUCGUGAACAUAGCGAACUGCUCAGUAACACGUGGAUAACCUGCCCUUAGGUUUGGCAUAACUCCGGGAAACUGGAGAUAAUUCCGAAUAAACCAUUCAUGCUGGAAUGCU